RNAcentral lists this unclassified non-coding RNA (2394 nucleotides) under Harpegnathos saltator (Jerdon's jumping ant). RNAcentral's name for it is "uncharacterized LOC112590447, transcript variant X1". Lineage: Eukaryota; Metazoa; Arthropoda; Insecta; Hymenoptera; Formicidae. The record is from RNAcentral.
GACGGAGACCGGUGACCGCGCGCGAGCGGCGAUCGCACAACGGGAUGCACCGCCUGAGAUAUACGCUUAUUUCGGGAGGAGUGGAUGUUCAGUGAGAAAACCCAAUCGCUGGGAACGAGUUCUCUCUCGUUGGACCAUCGCUCCUGCGUUUCAAAGUGCCCCAAGGGGAUCAGUGUGUUCGGCCGCUUUGAAAUUCGAUGUACACUCGCAUAUCUGCGGUGCAACCGACGAAAUCACCGACUCGAACUUGGACCAUCAGACACACGUCCGCUGGGUUCUCGCACCUUCGCACCCACGCGACGGCCGUUCAAUCACGACCGGUGAUCGUAAAGCCCGUAUCGCGGCUGCCAGCGCGACCAUGAAAAGAGCCGAUCACGCUUGGCCUCGAUCGGCUCACCUAUCGUGACACGACUGGUUCAGGUGCGAACGAACGCUUGCCAGCCAGGAAAAUCGACGCCGAUCCAAACGCGCUUGUCCACGAGGACGAAGACGAGUCGACACUUCCGCUCACUGUCAUCCUCGCGUCUCGGCGAUAUUAUAUGUAUGUAAUUAUCCACCCUCCUUUCCAGUCCGCGCGUUUGUCGUCGAAAGCGAGAAGAAACGAACAAGUUGGACCAUAUAUAUAUAUAUAUAUAUAUAUAUAUAUACUCAUUAAAUAUCAUUGCUGAUUAAAUAUCAUAGCGUCGGGCUUGUCCUCGAGCGUGUGCCGCGACAAGUCGCGCCAAUGACCGAUCCGCGCGGAUUCGAGCGGCACUUUCUACGUGUGAGUGCGAAAGUGCCGUUUCCGGCUGCUUUGUUCGAAAACAUCUCGCGGCCGUCGAAAGAAUCCACCCGGCCGAAUGAAGCCGAUAACGAGCUGCCGUUCGCGGACGCCGUUCGCGAGAUACCUCCGCGACGCGAGACGCAACGCGGACGCGAGGAAUAUUAUCCUGCACUUUCUCCGAACAGGCGAAAUAUGCAGUUCAGAGGAACAACUUCAGCUCUCUUCUUCUUGCCUCAUUUUUCGCGCCUCUACGGGCACUUUUGUACGUGACGGGACCUGAAUUACAUAAAACGGGGGAGAUUGCCGCGCGAGCCACGCGCGAGCCGGAGCGACGCGCGAUUUAAUCCCGUCUCGCCUUGGACACCGUGAAAGCUAAUUAUGACGACGGGAUCUCGUGCAAGAAGCGCAUUGAAAUAUUAGCAUAACACGACUGACGGCCGAGUGUUUCUUCGGCUUAUUGUGAUUACAAUUUACAUCGCUCGGGGAGAUAUCGCGGUCUGUAUCCGCGUCGCUCUAAUGGCAUGCAAAACAGCCGGAUUAUCGUGGUAUUACCUGAUUUAAUCAAGACGCUGGUCGUCUGGUCGGCCGAACGCGUCGAUUUAAAAUCGACGCGUAAUCCGCGCGUUCUUACGACGAACUCGACGAUAGAAAGUCGACUGCUACGAUAUUGUGAGUUUCGUAAUAAAAUCGAGGAAUGCUCGUUACGAUCGUGACAUGCCCGCCGGUUUGACAUAACGCUGUUAUUACGAUCGUUGCCGGUUCGUUCGCUUCGGGGACAAGAAUGGAUUAUAACGGCGAACGGAAGCAGGAAACAGGACUGUUCCCCAUUAGUCAUCCUUUCUUUCUUUCUUUUUUUUCAUUAGACGACGAAUGUUUCGUGCAUGACAACCGAGCGACAAGCGUGCGUAUAUAUGAUUCGAAAUACGCGCGCGCACGUCUUUGUUGUGUGUUUCAUCGUGUAAUCUCUUACUUUAAGUGAAUAAAUUUAAAAAGAAUCCGCGCGAAAGCGUGCGUCAGAUGAGUAAUGUUUUGUUGAAAAAUUUUAUCCUUAUCUUGCAUAAUUUAUAGACUAGAGAGAAUAUGGAUCAGACGUAAGAAGCCUGAGGCACAUCGCGAUCAUUUGUAGAAUCUAAAUAAGGGUUGAAUCCUAGCACUCGUCGUUCCGUUACGGUAACGGUAACGGUAACGCUUGUUACGGUGAUCGCGAUGUAUCACAAGAAAACAGACAUUGCACGGUAAUAAUUUGUUGUACGAUACUUUAGAUAAUGUACAUAUAACAUAUAUACCAAAUUACCUUUACACCCUAAGCAAAUUAACUCCUCACAUGAUUGAAUAAUUCUGAUAAUAAACGAUAAUUCUUUCUUGCAUGCAAGAAAACUGCUCGCAUAUUUUUCCUUCGAAUGUAGCGGUAAAACUCUUAUGGUAACACAACAUCUUCUUUUCCCCGCAUAUAGAUAAUGAAGUUUCCUGAAGUACUGUCACCUUGAGUUCACGAAAAUUUCUUGGUUUGGUCCAAAGUAAAUUUUAUGAAGAUCGAUAAAUUUACCCGAGACUUGAAAUUGUAAUUUGAGUUAUGACUAAAAAUCAAAUUUUAGCCGAGACUCAAACCACAAUUUACCGGCUGCCAUAAA